RNAcentral lists this unclassified non-coding RNA (200 nucleotides) under Trichocladium sp. Its description in RNAcentral is "partial internal transcribed spacer 2". The record is from RNAcentral. Lineage: Eukaryota; Fungi; Ascomycota; Sordariomycetes; Sordariales; Chaetomiaceae.
UUAAGUUCAGCGGGUAUCCCUACCUGAUCCGGAGAUCAACUUAAAAGAAGCUUAAUGGGAGGAGGCCUGCCAGAAUCGCGACGCAAUGUGCUGCGCACGAAGCCCACAUACCGGCUGCCAAUGAAUUUAAGGCGAGUCCACGCGCUGAGGCGGAACAAACACCCAACACAAGCAGAGCUUGAAUGAUUAAAUGACGCUCG